This 497-nucleotide ribosomal RNA is filed under the name uncultured bacterium. RNAcentral describes it as "partial 16S ribosomal RNA". It matches the Rfam family "Bacterial small subunit ribosomal RNA", at positions 28 to 507 of the family's 1533-position model. The record is from RNAcentral.
GACGAACGCUGGCGGCGUGCCUAAUACAUGCAAGUUGAGCGCUGAAGGUUGGUACUUGUACCAACUGGAUGAGCAGCGAACGGGUGAGUAACGCGUGGGGAAUCUGCCUUUGAGCGGGGGACAACAUUUGGAAACGAAUGCUAAUACCGCAUAAAAACUUUAAACACAAGUUUUAAGUUUGAAAGAUGCAAUUGCAUCACUCAAAGAUGAUCCCGCGUUGUAUUAGCUAGUUGGUGAGGUAAAGGCUCACCAAGGCGAUGAUACAUAGCCGACCUGAGAGGGUGAUCGGCCACAUUGGGACUGAGACACGGCCCAAACUCCUACGGGAGGCAGCAGUAGGGAAUAUUCGGCAAUGGACGAAAGUCUGACCGAGCAACGCCGCGUGAGUGAAGAAGGUUUUCGGAUCGUAAAACUCUGUUGGUAGAGAAGAACGUUGGUGAGAGUGGAAAGCUCAUCAAGUGACGGUAACUACCCAGAAAGGGACGGCUAACUACGUG